This 520-nucleotide ribosomal RNA is filed under the name uncultured bacterium. Its description in RNAcentral is "bacterial SSU rRNA". It matches the Rfam family "Bacterial small subunit ribosomal RNA", at positions 988 to 1509 of the family's 1533-position model. The record is from RNAcentral.
CCAGAGAACUUAGCAGAGAUGCUUUGGUGCCUUCGGGAACUCUGAGACAGGUGCUGCAUGGCUGUCGUCAGCUCGUGUUGUGAAAUGUUGGGUUAAGUCCCGCAACGAGCGCAACCCUUAUCCUUUGUUGCCAGCGGCUCGGCCGGGAACUCAAAGGAGACUGCCGGUGAUAAACCGGAGGAAGGUGGGGAUGACGUCAAGUCAUCAUGGCCCUUACGGCCAGGGCUACACACGUGCUACAAUGGCGCAUACAAGAGAAGCGACCUCGCGAGAGCAAGCGGACCUCAUAAAGUGCGUCGUAGUCCGGAUUGGAGUCUGCAACUCGACUCCAUGAAGUCGGAAUCGCUAGUAAUCGUAGAUCAGAAUGCUACGGUGAAUACGUUCCCGGGCCUUGUACACACCGCCCGUCACACCAUGGGAGUGGGUUGCAAAAGAAGUAGGUAGCUUAACCUUCGGGAGGGCGCUUACCACUUUGUGAUUCAUGACUGGGGUGAAGUCGUAACAAGGUAGGCGUAGCGAG